This 142-nucleotide RNase P RNA is filed under the name Escherichia coli. RNAcentral's name for it is "partial RNase P RNA component class B". It matches the Rfam family "Bacterial RNase P class B", at positions 1 to 142 of the family's 365-position model. Rfam says of the family: Ribonuclease P (RNase P) is a ubiquitous endoribonuclease, found in archaea, bacteria and eukarya as well as chloroplasts and mitochondria. Its best characterised activity is the generation of mature 5'-ends of tRNAs by cleaving the 5'-leader elements of precursor-tRNAs. Cellular RNase Ps are ribonucleoproteins. The record is from RNAcentral. Lineage: Bacteria; Pseudomonadati; Pseudomonadota; Gammaproteobacteria; Enterobacterales; Enterobacteriaceae.
GUUUUUGGGUAAUCGCGGUCUGACAUGAUCAGGCUGAGGAAAGUCCAUGCUCGCACAGGCUGUGAUGCCUGUAGUGUUCGUGCUUAGCGAAACAAUAAGCUAAGGUACUCUAUUAGAGUAACGGCAGGAAAACAAGCUAAGG